AUUGAACGCUAGCGGGAUGCUUUACACAUGCAAGUCGAACGCGUGGCGGACGGGUGAGUAAUAUAUCGGAACGUGCCCAGUAGCGGGGGAUAACUACUCGAAAGCGUGGCUAAUACCACCUACUAUUUGAGCGGCCGAUAGCGGAUUGGCUAGUUGGUGGGGUAACGGCUAACCAAGGCAACGAGCCGUAGGUGGUUUGAGAGGAAGACCGGCCACACGGGGACUGAGACACGGCCCAGACUCCUACGGGAGGAAGCAGGGGGGAAUUUUGGGCAAUGGGGGAAACCCUGAUCCAGCCAUCCCGCGUGUAUGAGAAGGCCUUCGGGUUGUAAAGUACUUUUGGCAGAGAAGCGGUAUCUGCAGAAUAAGCACCGGCUAAUUACGUGCCAGCAGCCGCGGUAAUAC
RNAcentral lists this ribosomal RNA (405 nucleotides) under uncultured bacterium. Its description in RNAcentral is "partial 16S ribosomal RNA". It matches the Rfam family "Bacterial small subunit ribosomal RNA", at positions 30 to 526 of the family's 1533-position model. The record is from RNAcentral.